This is a non-coding RNA of Caenorhabditis elegans, 149 nucleotides long. NCBI's taxonomy places the organism in Eukaryota, Metazoa, Nematoda, Chromadorea, Rhabditida, Rhabditidae. The record is from Ensembl.
AACGAAGUUUUAAAUUUAAUAAAGUCAAUCUUUCUUGUUUCAUCUUCCUAUUAAAAUCAUUUUGUUUAUAUUGGGAGUAAUCAAAGACACGCCCGAAUUAAACAAAUUUCAGAAUCGAAUUAAUUUGGCAAAACGUGGAAAGAGGUGGA